Non-coding RNA from Misgurnus anguillicaudatus (oriental weatherfish), 2910 nucleotides. The record is from RefSeq and is a predicted model, not a curated record. Lineage: Eukaryota; Metazoa; Chordata; Actinopteri; Cypriniformes; Cobitidae.
GCAUCACAGUAUUUUUUUAUCUGAAAAGCAGCCAGCAUUUUAGCUAAUGGGUGACUUUUUGGGAUAAUCAUUGGAAAGUUCAGGUUAAAAUAAGCUCCUGUAAUAGUCAGAGCCAGAUUAAACUGGCCGGAGCUGUAAAGCGAGAAAGCUGGUGAUACGGAUCGAGCAGCCGCACUCCGUGUGAACUCGCCUUCACUGCCCAGGGCUCAGUCUGACCUGAUAAAGUAUUUCAACACUCUCAAGUAUGUAUGUUGAGAAGUAGCGCGCACAGAGACCUAUUAGGUUGCCGCUUCGGUCGCCUACAUAGUAGUCCAGUCCAAACCAGUUCUUGUUUAUCAUACAGUGGCCACCCUUGUAUCACCACCAGGGAGUGAACAGAAUGACUGUAGAUCUGAACACAGUGUCAUUGUAUUAUACAAGGUCAAAGUUGUCAAAACUAAAUAUUUAUUGUUGGCUUUUUGUUAGUUAGAUGAUGAAUCAUGUAUGAAGGCUUGGGUGUGAGAAUAAAGCACUGGUUGAGCUUGAUAACACAUGGAUUUAUGAUGAUAUUCAUAAUUAUGCCUUCUAGAUAUGACUCAGUAAUCUCCUUCAUUGUAUAUAGGAUUUUCAACUUAUUUUAUACACAAGGUAAAAAGCCAUAGAAGUUGAGGCACAAUUUAACACAAAUUACACUAAACAGAAAUAAUGUAAAAUGUUAGAAGUUUGUUUGAAUCCCUAACUAUAAAGCUUGUCUAAGUAAACAUUACUAAAAGUGAUAUUAUUUGUCAUAGGUUAAUACUUUGAUCAGAGACCUUCUGAAGACUUUGACAGCCACACAGCCAAUGGCGUCGCAGUGCGUAUGCAAAAGGGGCGGGGCUUGCACCGCUGACUCAGCUGAAAUUCGGGGUGUCGUGUGUCAGGAUCGACCGGGCAGAACGGUCACAGUCGGAUAAUCCCUAACCCGCGAGGCAUGUUACCCUCUUUAGAAACCUGUCUCGACUAAUGGUGUGUACAGCAGGUUAAAUCCUCACCGGAGAAAACAGAUGACGCAGGCUGAUCAUUUUUCUCAGGUUAAUCCCGGACUGAAGUAAACACCUGAACACACACAGACAGUCGCACGCUUUGUCAAGUUUAACAUGUGUGGAGAAAUGUUGUAGCUGUCAGAAAAAGCCCCUGAGCAAAGAUUUUGUCUCAUACCGCGGGCUUUUUUGUUUGAUGGAAAUAUGAACGGCGGUGAGUUUGGUUGUUGGGAAAAGUCAAAACAGUAAACAUUAUUAACUACUGUCUAUAAUACAUUAUGUCAUUUUAUUUACAUUAUUAAUUACUUUUCUGUUUCAAAACAAUGUAUUGCUUUAAACUGCUUAUUAUUUAUUAAUUAGGCUACUGAUUAAUUAAUAAUUACUUUUCAGACAAAACAAUUAAUUAAUAAUUUGUAUGCCAACAUUUUGCUGUCGUAAAAUCAUUUCGCUCUUAUAUUUGUUUUACUGUCUCUUGUGACAACUUAUUUCAUUUAUUACAUAUGUAUUUGCCAGACAAACAAACUGUAAACCCAUUCAAGCUAUUUUUGUGGCAGUUUUUCAAUUCGAAGGCUGCAGCCUGCGGAGGUCGCAUAUGCAGGCUGCAUACGUCAUCAAGCCUGGUUUAUUUAAUUUAACUGAGCAUUACAUCAUAAAAUCAUAAACAUAUUACAACAAUUUACAAUUAACUAAAAUAAUAGUCAACUUUAAAAUUGUUAAUAUACUGAAAUAAGACAGUCUCGAUGACGUAUGCAGCCUAGAAAAGCGACCUUCGGAGUCUGCAGCCUUCGGAUUGAGCAACGGCCUGUGUUCCCGGGGAAAGGGGCGGGGCUUGUACCACUGACUGACUCAGCUUAAAUUAAAUAAAUGUCCAAAUUCUAGACCGGUGUGAUGUCAUGAUGUCAACUUUUUUUUUUAAAUAUUUUAUUUUUUACCUUUGGAGUUUAACACCCAACUAUAAAAUGUAAUUUGACACAAAUUUCCCGUCACAAACCUGAAGCCACGUUUACGCGGCAUUUACAGCAGAGACGUUAUGAGGUGAAGAAGAGAUCCAGGUUUCUCCAGAGGAGAAUUAGGUUAGUGGUCCACGUACCUCUCUCGGGAUCAAACAUCUGCUUCAGCUGAGCUGACCGCAAAGCUGAAGAGGAAAAUGUGACGCGCGUUCCUACCGCCCAUCAGGCUUUUCUUUAACUUUUGAGGGCCUUGCCCGAAAAAAUACGACUGCGUGUGCAGAAACAACGAAAGCUGUGUUCGGGGAGCAUCUGGUCCUUAGAUGUCCUGUGUGCUGGAAUGCCAAGAGAAACGGAAAAGAAGUUUCCUCUGUGGAGAAGUCGAAGCAUGUGUGGCUGUGUGCUAACAUUUGCAAAAGUAGAAACGUAGGAAUGAAGUCAAAUUUGUAUUUCAUACUAGGGCUGGAAAUGUAAAUGCUGACUGUGAAGAAGUUACACAACGAAGCCGUCAAAGUUAAAGGUCGCGUUAAAAAUCACGACAGCCUCAGAAAACAUAACAGUCACUUAUCCAGUCUGCAAUUUUGCAUAUAAAACAUAACAGUUGGUAAAGAAAAACCCUUUCUGUAGAAAAUGGCGUGUUUAUUCAAUGGACCAGGGCAAAAAACAAUCAAACAUGAUUUUUUGCUGUGUGACAUCAUAUACCAACAAAGUUAUGGUAAAAAAGUUAGGAAUACAAAACUAUGUGGAAACACACAAAGGAUAUUGCACCUAUUGACUUAGUAGCUUAAUACCCAUUUUAUAAUUCAUUCCUGCAAUAGUAAAGUGGAAGCCAUUUUGUUUAGCUGUGGACCUGAAGAGCAACUUCUCUUCCUAUGCAGUCUGCAUUAAUAAACAAUGUUUAGUUCUUUAUGACGACUAACAAUCUCUGGAAGUGCAAGUUAAAGAAUGUUUUUUUCUAAAUAAAA